UGUCUCUCACUCAGUGUUUAUCCACUCCUUUUGAUCCAGUCUCUUUCACAACUAAAUCAGAAAUCCUUGUAUCACGUUGAAUAAACUGGAUAAAUAUCAUCUGUGGCGUUCCACAGUCAGGAGAAACAGCCAAAACAGAGGGACCUAUCAAUUUGGGCUCCUUCCAGAACUGAAAACUGGUUACAAAUAUGAAACAGAUUUUACUACUGGACUUGAACUCCACAUAAGAAAAACAAACAAACAAGAUCCUCGAAGAUCCUCAUCAAAGAAUAGAUGCACUGUGACUGGCAGGGAUAUCAAAGAGGUAAGAGGUAAAUUUCUAAUGAAAACAUGUUUUCUCUGUGGUCAGGUAAAUAGAAA
RNAcentral lists this long non-coding RNA (360 nucleotides) under Capra hircus (goat). RNAcentral's name for it is "lncRNA (ENSCHIG00000004598.1)". The record is from RNAcentral. Lineage: Eukaryota; Metazoa; Chordata; Mammalia; Artiodactyla; Bovidae.